UCAAUAAAAAUAAAAACAAAGCAUAGUUAUAGUUGGGUAGAGAAACAAAACAGAGGAGCAAAACCGGAGGAAGAAGUCAGCAGAAGAAGAAAAAGAUGAUCUAUCGGAGGUGGAGUCUCCUUACGGGUCCGACGGCUCUCGUCGCUGGUGUAGUGGCCACCGUCGCCGUCGCCAACUUCGUAUUGGUCAAGAAUGACCCAUUUACCAAACCAGACGAGAGGAAGUUUGGAGACCAACCUGCAACCAAGUAGUAGGAAAGACUUCACAGUGGUUUGUGUUUUGAUGUAAUCUAAACAAUUGGUUUAUGAGCCUUGUAUGCCUCUUUGCAAGACAUGCUUGCCAGUUAAUAAAUUAUGAGGGGUCAAAUGAAGUCUAGACUCUGGAGUAUGGACCCUAGUUUAGAACCCACCCACAAAAGUUCUAGAGAACUGGUUCACAUAUCAGAGAUCCUUACUUUUUUUUUUUUGUACAAUUGUCACAUGGAGGAAAUGUGUAAUAAUCUUCCAUUUCAUAUCUUUUAUCCUUAUCAAUUUUCUGUUAAAAGUUUGCUUUGCUUUUCUGAUUUAUUUA
Medicago truncatula (barrel medic) is the source of this 570-nucleotide long non-coding RNA. RefSeq lists it as uncharacterized. The record is from RefSeq and is a predicted model, not a curated record. NCBI's taxonomy places the organism in Eukaryota, Viridiplantae, Streptophyta, Magnoliopsida, Fabales, Fabaceae. The transcript is spliced from 2 exons.